AUUGAACGCUGGCGGCAGGCCUAACACAUGCAAGUCGGACGGUAGCACAGAGGAGCUUGCUCUUCGGGUGACGAGUGGCGGACGGGUGAGUAAUGUCUGGGGAUCUGCCCGAUAGAGGGGGAUAACCACUGGAAACGGUGGCUAAUACCGCAUAACGUCGCAAGACCAAAGAGGGGGACCUUCGGGCCUCUCACUAUCGGAUGAACCCAGAUGGGAUUAGCUAGUAGGCGGGGUAACGGCCCACCUAGGCGACGAUCCCUAGCUGGUCUGAGAAGAUGAGCAGGCACACUGGAACUGAGACACGGACCAGACUCCUACGGGAGGCAGCAGUGGGGAAUAUUGGACAAUGGGCGCAAGCCUGAUGCAGCCAUGCCGCGUGUAUGAAGAAGGCCUUCGGGUUGUAAAGUACUUUCAGCGGGGAGGAAGGCGAUGUGGUUAAUAACCGCGUCGAUUGACGUUACCCGCAGAAGAAGCACCGGCUAACUCCGUGCCAGCAGCCGCAGUAA
This 506-nucleotide ribosomal RNA is filed under the name uncultured bacterium. RNAcentral describes it as "partial 16S ribosomal RNA". It matches the Rfam family "Bacterial small subunit ribosomal RNA", at positions 29 to 523 of the family's 1533-position model. The record is from RNAcentral.